UGCAAGUCGUACGAGAGUUUUUAACUCUAGUGGCGGACGGGUGAGUAACACGUGAGAAUUUGCCUUUAGGAGGGGGACAACAAUUGGAAACGAAUGCUAAUACCCCAUAUGCUUUCGAGUAAAAUGGAUUUUAUCUGCCUAAAGAGAAGCUCGCGGCUGAUUAGCUUGUUGGUAAGGUAAAAGCUUACCAAGGCGACGAUCAGUAUCUGGUUUGAGAGGACGAUCAGACACACUGGAACUGAGACACGGUCCAGACUCCUACGGGAGGCAGCAGUGGGGAAUUUUCCGCAAUGGGCGAAAGCCUGACGGAGCAAUACCGCGUGAGGGAAGACUGCCUAUGGGUUGUAAACCUCUUUUUUCAGGGAGGAAUUCAUGACGUGUACCUGAAGAAUAAGCAUCGGCUAACUCCGUGCCGGCAGCCGCGGUAAGACGGAGGAUGCAAGUGUUAUCCGGAAUCACUGGGCGUAAAGCGUCUGUAGGUGGUUUAACAAGUCAACUGUUAAAUCUUGAAGCUCAACUUCAAAAUCGCAGUCGAAACUAUUAGACUAGAGUAUAGUAGAGGUAAAGGGAAUUUCCAGUGGAGCGGUGAAAUGCGUAGAGAUUGGAAAGAACACCGAUGGCGAAAGCACUUUACUGGGCUAUUACUGACACUGAGAGACGAAAGCUAGGGUAGCAAAUGGGAUUAGAUACCCCAGUAGUC
This 700-nucleotide ribosomal RNA is filed under the name uncultured cyanobacterium. Its description in RNAcentral is "bacterial SSU rRNA". It matches the Rfam family "Bacterial small subunit ribosomal RNA", at positions 56 to 795 of the family's 1533-position model. Lineage: Bacteria; Bacillati; Cyanobacteriota. The record is from RNAcentral.